Small nucleolar RNA from Nannospalax galili (Upper Galilee mountains blind mole rat), 136 nucleotides. Its record names the gene SNORA70. It matches the Rfam family "Small nucleolar RNA SNORA70". From Rfam's summary of the family: snoRNA U70 seems to be exclusive to mammals and is a member of the H/ACA class of snoRNA which contain H (ANANNA) and ACA box motifs. H/ACA box snoRNAs are involved in the conversion of uridines to pseudouridines (5-ribosyluracil) a constituent of structural RNAs (transfer, ribosomal, small nuclear, and small nucleolar). The record is from Ensembl. NCBI's taxonomy places the organism in Eukaryota, Metazoa, Chordata, Mammalia, Rodentia, Spalacidae.
CUGCAGCCAAUUAAGCUGACCAGGUUUCUUUCCGCGUGGGAGCCUGGUGUGUAGUGACUGUAAACAGCAGUCUUCUUGGUUAGUGUAUGCAACCUGUUGCAUGUAUGGGUUGCCCAAAGGAACCUUGGAGACAGUU